UACAGAGGUCCCAAGCGUUGUUCGGAUUCACUGGGCGUAAAGGGUGCGUAGGCGGUCGGGUAAGUCUGAUGUGAAAUCUCACAGCUUAACUGUGAAACUGCAUUGGAUACUAUCCGGCUCGAGGAAUGGAGGGGAGACUGGACUACUUGGUGUAGCAGUGAAAUGCGUAGGUAUCAAGUGGAACACCAGUGGCGAAGGCGAGUCUCUGGACAUUUCCUGACGCUGAGGCACGAAAGCCAGGGGAGCAAACGGG
RNAcentral lists this ribosomal RNA (253 nucleotides) under uncultured bacterium. RNAcentral describes it as "partial 16S ribosomal RNA". It matches the Rfam family "Bacterial small subunit ribosomal RNA", at positions 524 to 776 of the family's 1533-position model. The record is from RNAcentral.